RNAcentral lists this long non-coding RNA (234 nucleotides) under Medicago truncatula (barrel medic). RNAcentral's name for it is "long non-coding RNA (MTRU_LNC000995)". Lineage: Eukaryota; Viridiplantae; Streptophyta; Magnoliopsida; Fabales; Fabaceae. The record is from RNAcentral.
AACUCCUCCCCUCAUUUUCCCUUCAAACUUGUAAACAAACAUUGGAAGGAUGGCCGUGGAAGUGAGAUUCCUAUGUCACAGAUUAACCAUAGAGGUGAAAGGCAAAUGGGUCGAAUUUUGGUAUGGAAGAUAUAAUAAGAUUAACGGAAUUUCAAAUGCCAAUGAGGCAAUGACAAAAGAAAAAUUGUACACAACGCACCACCUAAGUUGUUUGUGCACGUUGAUAAAUCCGAC